UUGCUUGCUGCCUGUGCGUUCACGGAGUUCAUUCUUCGACUGCCGUGAACAAGAACCCUGAUUCCGGUAGCAACAUCUUUCUGGUAUCACUAUGGGCCUUCUGAAUGGAAGCCCUAGUGACAGUGCAGGCCAGGUGAUCUGGGGACCCAUCCCCUACCAGCAGCCACAAAAUCUGGGGUGCAGGUGUAGGUACAGAUUCUUUUCAAGGAAAUACUGGCACCUUGGAGCAGGCAAGAGGGGACAGGGGUGGUAUCCACUGGCUUCCCUGGCAUUUGGGGAGGAUGGCAGUCAGCCAGCCCCUAGAUAGGUGCCCAGGUAAAAGCCUGACCCCCAGGCACCAGCUUUUAAAGCAUCUAAACAGACCUCUUUCAGGGACAGACUAGCACUGCAUGUUUUUUGUCUGCCCCCCCCCCCCGCGCCCCCCUGGCUGCCCCAAUGUGAGUGCUUGAGCCCACGGACAACUGCUGCUUUGUUUGCUAUAGUUGGUAGCUCUCGUGCACUCAACUCCAUUGGCCUGGCGAGCUGGGUGUUGUAGGUGUGAGGUCCAAACCCUUCACCCUGCAAGGGGAGGCUGGCAUGUGGGGAUCCCUCCCCGUUACCUGGCUCUGUGCCAGGGCUUGGGUUUAUGGCAAGAGGAUGUCUCAACCUUUCCUACUCAUUUCAACGUAAUGGUUUUCUUUCUUCCCUCAUUGUGUACAGGGUGCUUAUUAGCCAGUUUCUUCCAGAAGGAACUCCUGUGUGUAGCUGUUCAUGAGGUGUGUCCCUGGGAGGAGGGCAGUCAGGAGCCUUCUGUGUUGCCAUCUGUAAAUACAGCCUCAAUACUUUCUGAACUGUGCUUCUGUUUUUGUGUUUCCUGGACUGGGCAGACCUGAGCGUGGCUGCCAGCUAAGGGCAGGAUUCCCCAAUAAAGAAAAGAUGUAUGAUAAAAGAGGGAACAUGGGUGGAGCCAGGUUUUGAGAGGAGCCAUGUGAAUUUGCAAUAACAGGGAAAAGGGUUUGACCCUGGCUGUGGGCCAGGGCAAUGUGCCUUCCUUUCAAAUGAGGGGGAGGAGCGAGAGGCGGUAAACCAGAGGGCGUGAGUGUGGAUGGGAAAUGCUGCCGGUCACAUCAGGAAACAAAGGCCAUCAGCCACGGUGGCUCCUGACUGUGCACCCUGAGGGGAUUCGGGAUGGAGAGCCUCGAGAUUGGCCCUUGAUAGUUGAGAUGCUUAGCAAAGGGAUGACUGCAAUGCGCCCAGACUCUUGCAUCUUCCUAUUUUGCUGGUACAUUUGAGACCAACCAACUCCUGAAUGUGAAAGAAAGGCGGCUCAGCCACAAGGAGAGUGGAAGAGAGCUGGAAUACUGUGCGGCGACUGGAAAAGUUACAAGAAAAUUACAUGGAACCCACUAACCACUCUUACUUGUGACGUGCACUGGGCCUUUCUGGUGAGUACAAUAAGGAUUGUUACGAGUGAUAUCUGUUGUGUGAGGUGUGUGGCGUCAUGCUAAGCAUCUAUGCGGGUAAAUUCAAUCCUCUGAACAGCCUUUACGGUAGAAGCGAUUAUUUCCCCUCCUACAGGUGAGCAUGUGCAGAGAGAGAAAGGAGGAUGCAGUGGGAUCCUUGACUGGCCACCUGUUCGGGCUGGGCGCCCUGGGCAACUUAGUCUCGGGAAGCCCUAGCUUCCUCUGGGAGAAUGAGCAGGAUCACUGUUUACAAAAUUAUUAGGAAUAUUAAAUGAUGUGUGUGCAGGAGCCUAAUGCAUGCUGGGUACUUUUUAAAGAAAACCAUCAUAAAAUGUGAACAGUGGCUCAGUUGUUGGCUCUGCAUAGACACUGCGAUCUGAGCUUGUUCUUUCUCCCCAGAGCAGGAUGAAGACUUGCACCACAGAAGCAGGAACCCCUGUGAACGUCUCCUACCAGGUAGGUACCACAUAGAUGUGUGAUGCAGCCUACUGUUAAAAAGUGUGUGUGUGUGUGGCGGGGGGCAGUAGUAGCAGAGACAGUGGCCCGAACCAUGGUUCAGUGAAGGCUGACAUUCCAACUUGGAGUGGAAGCCAAGAAAUCUCAUCCCUACAUGAAGUGUGGCCCACAUGCCACCAGUUUGUGACCCUGGGGACUCUGGUUUAAAGAUGCUAGCUUAUGGAGUUCCCAUGGUGGCUACCUUGUCUCUGUGAGCAUGUGGGUUCAAUCCCUGGCCUGGCUCAGUGGGUUAAGGAUCCGAUGUUGCCGUAAGCUGUGGCAUAGGUCACAGAUGCAGCUUGGACCUGCUGUGGCUCUGGUGGAGCCGGCAGCUGUAGCUCUGAUUCGACCCACCAGCCCUGGAAACUCCCAUAUGCCACCUGUGUGGUUAAACAACAAAAAAUCUAAAUUCCCUCUGCCUCUUACUUAUUAUAUGACUUUGGCAAAGUCACUUUAGGUUCACUUAAGUGGAACUAAACCCUGGCCCACAGCUCAAGAGGCAGUGCUACAGUCGUCUGGCUAAACUGUGUCAAUGCUCAUGCGUUUUUCUCGGCUCAAUAAUUCCUGUUUGUACGUGAGCAGAUGGCGAGGGCUGUGCUAAGAUGACAGGGCAGCGGGUAGUGGGGCUCGGGGAGUUUACUUUGGCACAGAUCCCAGGGUGCUGUGGGAGACACUGAUUCAUGUGCGUCCCUCAUGAGGUGAGGCCAGGACAACCCUGCUUGUCUGCAGGUGUGUGGCGAGGUGGAAGCCCAGGGGGAGGGGGUUCAUCUCACAGAUGCGUCCCUGAGAGGAUCUCCAAGGCCCUUCCAGGCCAUCCUGCCAUCUCCCUGCUCCAGAACAAACAGCCGUCACUGUACUGGUGUAGCCGAAACAUUGCUGGUAUUUAUUGAAAAGGCAGAACGUGCUGCAUCCGUAGAGAUCCAGCUCCCACAGUUCUCCAGACAUGGGCUGCACGUCACCCUUAGGCUUGUCAUUCCCUCGGGUGGCAGCAAAACUGCUGUAGUGACACGUCCCCAGGAAGAAUAAGCUAGAAGACGCGCCUUGUGUUCUACACGCUAUGAAGGAUUCGGUGAUAAAGUGCUGGCAGAAGCUUGGCUAGGAAGGGCCCUGAGCAGAAGUCCCCAUGCUGGGCAGUCCAGGGCAUUGAUUUCUCCCCUGUGGCCAUCACCUGCCACCAAGACUCAGGUAACAUAAGGCUUAUGCCCCUGACAGGCUGCCAGAGCCACGGGGACGUGGUUUUUCUAAAGGCAGUAAGGCAGUGGAUGGACAUGUGACACUGGCAUUGCCAAUGGGAGGAGGGCGGGAUCAGGCCCUGCGGUGUCUGGGGGAGUGGGGUGGGGUGUCCAUGGAGAGCAUGCCCUGCUGAGGGGCCAGCAGCUUCCACCUGGACCAGCCGGGAAGAGAAAUUGGUUGGAUUGGAGGAUAACCAAGAGGUGGUCCCUGAAAUGACUUCUUCGUCCCACAACUGGGCUCCAUCCCGUGUGGCUAAGCCAAGGGCUCAGGUGUCGUCAGUACCUUUUACUCGCAAUACUGUGUCUAAAGUUUUCUUUCCAAUGACGAUGAAGUGAUUACACACAGGAUCUGAUGCAGUGAGAAGUGGGCUGAUGUGCAGACACUACCCCAGGGUCUGGGCAGUCCUGGUGAGUGGGAAAUACCUUCCUAAAGCAGCCAAGGCCAGACCGCCGGCACCAAGGCCUUUGGGACCCCAGAUGGGGAUGAGGCGAGGUCACCUGCUCCUAGGAGGUAAGGAAGUAUCUUUGCACAACUGAAGUUCACAGCGUAUUGGGUCAGCUUGCCUCAAAUUCAGAGAAGUUGGAAGCAAUUA
Molecule: non-coding RNA, 3762 nt
Organism: Sus scrofa (pig)
Lineage: Eukaryota; Metazoa; Chordata; Mammalia; Artiodactyla; Suidae
Source: RefSeq, a predicted model, not a curated record